GGAGGUUUUACUAUGAGUGGAGUGAGUGGGAGGUUUUACUCCAUUUCUUAAUUUUACUCAUAUAAUUUGCAUCGUUUUUGUGAUUUAAUUCACCGGUUUUGGUGAUUGUGAUUAUUUUGUAUAUGAUUUCUAAGGUGCUUCUGGGAGAUGGGCUGGAAAAUCGAGUUUAGUUCUUCGUUUCGUGAAAGGUCUUUGAGUGGCUAUGAUGGCGUCCUUUGAUCGGGCUAAAAAAUGGGUCGAGGAGCUCAAGGCACAAGGUAGAUAACAGUUGUAAUGCAAAUUUGACAUUUGCUAUUUCCUUUUAUUUUCUGUAGCCCAUUUAAAUGUUG
Non-coding RNA from Salvia hispanica, 329 nucleotides. Lineage: Eukaryota; Viridiplantae; Streptophyta; Magnoliopsida; Lamiales; Lamiaceae. The record is from RefSeq and is a predicted model, not a curated record.